RNAcentral lists this unclassified non-coding RNA (312 nucleotides) under plant metagenome. RNAcentral's name for it is "partial contains 5.8S ribosomal RNA, internal transcribed spacer 2, and large subunit ribosomal RNA". The stretch from base 1 to 105 matches the Rfam family "5.8S ribosomal RNA", at positions 50 to 154 of the family's 154-position model. The record is from RNAcentral.
GAAAUGCGAUAAGUAAUGUGAAUUGCAGAAUUCCGUGAAUCAUCGAAUCUUUGAACGCACAUUGCGCCCUCUGGCAUUCCGGGGGGCAUGCCUGUCCGAGCGUCAUUACGCACCCUCAAGCCCGGCUUGUGUGAUGGGCCCCGGCGUCUCGUUCGCGAGACAAGCCCGAAAGGCAGCGGCGGCGUCGACCCGAUGAGCCCGAGCGUAUGGGGACUUCUGUCACACGUUCGCGGUGCGGACCGGCGCCUGCUUGACUUUUCUGAUUAUCCAGGUUGACCUCGGAUCAGGUAGGGAUACCCGCUGAACUUAAGC